Molecule: long non-coding RNA, 1031 nt
Filed under: Ursus thibetanus thibetanus
Lineage: Eukaryota; Metazoa; Chordata; Mammalia; Carnivora; Ursidae
Description: lncRNA (ENSUTTG00000001289.1)
Source: RNAcentral
AUGUAUCCCUUUGAAUUGGUGUCUUUGUAUUCUUUGGGUAAAUACCAAGUAGAGCCAUUGCUGGAUCAUAGGGUAGGUAUAUAUUUUUUAAGGUUUUAUUUAUUUGACAGAGAGGGAACACAAGCAGGGGGAGUGGAAGAGGAAGAAGCAGGCAGGGAGCCUGAUGCAGGGCUCGAUCCCAGGACCCUGGGAUCAGGCCCUGAGCCGAAGGCAGACGCUUAAUGACUGAGCCACCCAGGUGCCCCAAAAUAUACAACUUUCUAAACAACCAGUGAGUAAAAGAAAAAAAAAUAAAAAAUUUAACAAUUGUUUAGAAAGUGGUAUUAGUGAGGGGCGCCUGGGUGGCUCCGUUGGUUGAGUGUCUGACUCUUGGUUUCAGUUUGGGUUGUGAUCUUGGGGUCCUGGGAUUGCGUCUUGCAUUAGGCUCUGCGCUCAGUGCACAGAGUCAGCUUGUCUCUCUCCCUUCCCCUCUGCCCCUCCCACUCUGCCCCUCCUCCCACUCAUGCAGGUGUGUGCACUCUCUGUCUCUAAAAUAAAUAAAUGAAAUCUUAAAUAAAAUGGCAUUAGUGAAAACUCUGAAUAUCAAACGCUAUUGGAUAUGAAAAAUCUGUAUCGGGAUCAAGACUGCUGAGCUUGAAGGUAUCAGCUUUUUUUUUUAACUUUUUUAAAAUUUAAAUUCAAUUAAUUAACAUAUAAUGUAUUAUUGGUUUCAGAGGUAGAGGCCAGUGAUUCAUCAGUCUUACAUAACACCCAGUGCUCAUUACAUCACGCGCCCUCCUUAAUGUCCAUCACCCAGUUACCCCAUCCCCCCCACCCCACUCCCCUCCAGCAACCCUCAGUUUGUUUCCUAUGAUUAAGUGUCUCUUAUGGUUUGUCUACCUCUCUGAUUUCGUCUUGUUUUAUUUUUUCCUCUCUUCCCCUCUGAUCCUCUGUUUUGUUUCUUAAAUUCCACAUGAGUGAGAUCAUAUGAUAAUUGUCUUUCUCUGAUUGACCUAUUUCGCUUAGCGUAAUACCCUCUAGUUCCAUCCACA